ACCGGAGAUACCCUGGAACAAGGAGUUCGCUAACUCCGUCCGCCUAAUCGGGAACGUCGGCGCCCCGGUCCAGAUCAAGCACCUCAGCAGCGGCAAGGUCCUCGCCUGGACCCGGCUCGGCGUGCGGAAGUCCCCCACUGAAACUACCUGGAUCAAUCUGACAUUCUGGGAUGAGCUAGCUCUUGUUGCAUUCCAGCAUGUAGAGAAGGGUCAGCAAGUGUUUGUCUCUGGACGUCUUGUGUCAGAUACGGUAGAAGGGGAGGAGGUGGACAAGCCACGGGUUUACUACAAAGUGGUUGUUCAGGAGCUGAAUUUCAUUGAGAGGAACAUGCCGCCGGUGCCCUUAUAUGAGCCGGAGACAAACUAUGGAACUUCAGGUGCAAAGUUUGGGGAUUUUGCAGGUAAUCGUGGUAGUGGUGGUUCGGCGGA
Molecule: unclassified non-coding RNA, 429 nt
Filed under: Hevea brasiliensis (rubber tree)
Lineage: Eukaryota; Viridiplantae; Streptophyta; Magnoliopsida; Malpighiales; Euphorbiaceae
Source: RNAcentral